CCUUGGCCUCCCAGUGUUUUAGGAUUACAGGCGUGAGCCGCUGCGCCCAGCCUGGAAAGAAGCACUUUAGAUUUGCUGUUGAGAUUAAACUUCACAAGAGGAAAGGCCAGAAAUAAAAGAUCAGUUAAGAGGUUACAACAGUAAUCCAGGAAGUCUCAGACUGAAAUCUCCCAGGUUGUAACAGAUUGGAUCUCAUUGAUUUAGAUGAAGAAAAGGUUCGAAUAAAUAUACAGAACUAAAGUGUUUAAUUCUGGAAGAUUGCUUGAAACUGAAUGCAGGAGUCCUGCUUCCCUUUUAGACCCAGCAAACACCCUAAGAAAAUCAAGGAAAUCUUUUCCUACUCUGCAAGGUCUAUGAGAAGUUACUAGUCCACAAGUCCAGAUCACCAGCAUGUCACAGAA
Macaca mulatta (Rhesus monkey) is the source of this 401-nucleotide non-coding RNA. The record is from RefSeq and is a predicted model, not a curated record. Lineage: Eukaryota; Metazoa; Chordata; Mammalia; Primates; Cercopithecidae.